UACGUAGGUGGCAAGCGUUGUCCGGAAUCAUUGGGCGUAAAGCGCGUGUAGGCGGUCCGGUAAGUCCGCUGUAAAAGUCGGGGGCUCAACCCUCGGAUGCCGGUGGAUACUGUCGGGCUUGAGUACGGAAGAGGCGAGUGGAAUUCCUGGUGUAGCGGUGAAAUGCGCAGAUAUCAGGAGGAACACCAAUUGCGAAGGCAGCUCGCUGGGACGUUACUGACGCUGAGACGCGAAAGCGUGGGGAGCAAACAGG
This 253-nucleotide ribosomal RNA is filed under the name uncultured bacterium. Its description in RNAcentral is "partial 16S ribosomal RNA". It matches the Rfam family "Bacterial small subunit ribosomal RNA", at positions 524 to 776 of the family's 1533-position model. The record is from RNAcentral.